UAGGGUUAAGGUGAACUCGUCAAACCCAACAUCGUCAUAUAAAUUAAUCGAUUGAUCCGAGUUCGAUGUGAAACCCUAAUAGAAAACUCUUUUUCCAUUAUUUCACUCUGCCAUGGCCAUAGGCUUAAGGACUCGAUCUUUCGAUCAUCAUAGGACUACUCUCAUCUACCGAGGUUGAUAGAUCCCAUCUUAGUGCGACCUAGUUCCUACAAUGAAUAUGCUACAGCCAACAUACACCUCAGGAUUUUGAAUGGCUAGGAGAUUGAGUUAUGGUGUAGUCAAACUAUAACAUACUCAAGGUGAACUGUCGAUGCACCUCAGGUCAAAGAACUAGACACACAACUGCAGCAUCGAUCUAGUCAUCGACGAGAAGGUAGACUUCCUUAUGACUGCUCGAGGUGGUCACGCUCAGUACUCUCGUUCUCAACGAAUACCUGUACUCUCACUUCGAUGUCUCCACACCGUAGACUCAAGAUACAUCUAUCCUAAGAA
Molecule: long non-coding RNA, 492 nt
Filed under: Elaeis guineensis (African oil palm)
Lineage: Eukaryota; Viridiplantae; Streptophyta; Magnoliopsida; Arecales; Arecaceae
Description: long non-coding RNA (EGUI_LNC071498)
Source: RNAcentral